UACGGAGGGGGCUAGCGUUGUUCGGAAUUACUGGGCGUAAAGCGCGCGUAGGCGGCUUUGUAAGUUAGAGGUGAAAGCCCGGAGCUCAACUCCGGAAUUGCCUUUAAGACUGCAUCGCUAGAAUCAUGGAGAGGUGAGUGGAAUUCCGAGUGUAGAGGUGAAAUUCGUAGAUAUUCGGAAGAACACCAGUGGCGAAGGCGACUCACUGGACAUGUAUCGACGCUGAGGUGGCGAAAGCGUGGGGAGCGAACAGG
RNAcentral lists this ribosomal RNA (254 nucleotides) under uncultured bacterium. RNAcentral's name for it is "partial 16S ribosomal RNA". It matches the Rfam family "Bacterial small subunit ribosomal RNA", at positions 524 to 776 of the family's 1533-position model. The record is from RNAcentral.